CCUGAUGAACAAGUCUCAUCACUUUGGAGUCUCUGCGUACAUAGCCAGAAUGUCAAUCCUCCUUCACUUCCGAGAUAAACCGACAGCAGGAAAGCCAAAUUCUCUCCCUGCAACCCUUCAGACUCUAAGAUAGGCUUUUCUGGAGCAGUUUUGAUAGAAUGAACUCAAUGAGAUACUGCCUAAAAGAGGACCCCAGGAAGCCCCGAAAGAUGUCCUGGUAAAACACAAGUGAAACUAUAAACUGGAGGCCUAAUUAAGACCUGCUGUUUCCUGAAAUUUUGUGUGCACGGCUCUGGGAAGGAAAAGGAGCAUGAAGCUUUGCUGAAGGAGUCCGUGUAAUCGUAAGAGAAAAUCCCAGCAUUCUAGUCACUCCUUUCAGUCCUCACCUAAGGACCACAGUGAAUUUAUGUCUAUGGCAAACAUGAAAGCCCGCUGUGGAGUGGCUGAGGGAAAACUCAACUCAGCGCGAACGUCAUGCGCUCAGACUUCAGCUGCUCCCAGCCAAUAUUUCCAAAUUUAAGCUUAAACACCAUGAUGGAUCAUGCAAUUUUAGUCUUUUGACAUUUUCUUACAUAUUCCC
Fukomys damarensis (Damara mole-rat) is the source of this 580-nucleotide long non-coding RNA. RefSeq lists it as uncharacterized. The record is from RefSeq and is a predicted model, not a curated record. NCBI's taxonomy places the organism in Eukaryota, Metazoa, Chordata, Mammalia, Rodentia, Bathyergidae. The transcript has 3 exons.